AGCGGACAGAUGGGAGCUUGCUCCCUGAUGUUAGCGGCGGACGGGUGAGUAACACGUGGGUAACCUGCCUGUAAGACUGGGAUAACUCCGGGAAACCGGGGCUAAUACCGGAUGGUUGUUUGAACCGCAUGGUUCAAACAUAAAAGGUGGCUUCGGCUACCACUUACAGAUGGACCCGCGGCGCAUUAGCUAGUUGGUGAGGUAAUGGCUCACCAAGGCAACGAUGCGUAGCCGACCUGAGAGGGUGAUCGGCCACACUGGGACUGAGACACGGCCCAGACUCCUACGGGAGGCAGCAUAGGAAUCUUCCGCAAUGGACAAAGUCUGACGGACAACGCCCGUGAGUGAUGAAGGUUUUCGAUCGUAAAGCUCUGUUGUUAGGGAAGAACAAGUACCGUUCGAAUAGGCGGUACCUGACGGUCCUGACCAGAGCCAC
RNAcentral lists this ribosomal RNA (436 nucleotides) under Bacillus tequilensis. RNAcentral describes it as "bacterial SSU rRNA". It matches the Rfam family "Bacterial small subunit ribosomal RNA", at positions 65 to 494 of the family's 1533-position model. The record is from RNAcentral. Lineage: Bacteria; Bacillati; Bacillota; Bacilli; Caryophanales; Bacillaceae.